This 775-nucleotide ribosomal RNA is filed under the name uncultured Neocallimastigales. RNAcentral describes it as "partial large subunit ribosomal RNA". It matches the Rfam family "Eukaryotic large subunit ribosomal RNA", at positions 24 to 644 of the family's 3401-position model. The record is from RNAcentral. Lineage: Eukaryota; Fungi; Neocallimastigomycota; Neocallimastigomycetes; Neocallimastigales.
UAUCUCUGUAGAGUCUGCAUAUCAAUAAGCGGAGGAAAAGAAACUAACAAGGAUUCCCUUAAUAACGGCGAGUGAAGCGGGAAGAGCUCAAAUUUGAAAUCUUCAAGGUUCUGACCUUGACGAAUUGUAGUUUAAAGAAGUGUUUUCUGUUAGAUGAGUAGCAAAAGUUCCUUGGAAUGGGACAUCAUAGAGGGUGAGAAUCCCGUAUUUGGUUAUUCAUUCUAGCUUUGUGAUACACUUUCAAAGAGUCGGAUUGUUUGGGAAUGCAGUCCAAAAUGGGUGGUAAAUUUCAUCUAAAGCUAAAUAUUGGCGAGAGACCGAUAGCGAACAAGUACCGUGAGGGAAAGAUGAAAAGAACUUUGAAAAGAGAGUUAAACAGUACGUGAAAUUGUCAAAAGGGAAGCGUUUGACACCAGUGUUGUUUUUCCGAAAAUCAAUUACGAAUGGCUUGAUUUUGUGUUGUAUUGACCUUAUCAGCUUUCUUCACUUUUUUCGAGUCUUUCUUAAUGCACUUUUCGGUUAACAAGUCAACAUCAAUUUCUUUUGUUGUAAAAGAGUAUUCGGAAGGUGGCUUUCUUUUCGGAGAAAGUGUUUAUAGCCCUAUACUUCUACAGUCGGAGAGAUUGAGGUCUGCAGCGUAGAUCCUUCGGGGUUAGAUACACUUGUGCUAAGUUGUAGCUUUUCAUAGACAACUUGUUGACUAUGUUUAGUCAUGCGGCUUACUCGCUUAUGCUAUUUUACCUACGCUUAGGAUGUUGACUGAUAUGUAGUCGUA